RNAcentral lists this ribosomal RNA (253 nucleotides) under uncultured bacterium. RNAcentral describes it as "partial 16S ribosomal RNA". It matches the Rfam family "Bacterial small subunit ribosomal RNA", at positions 524 to 776 of the family's 1533-position model. The record is from RNAcentral.
UACGGAGGAUCCGAGCGUUAUCCGGAUUUAUUGGGUUUAAAGGGUGCGUAGGCGGCCUUGUAAGUCAGGGGUGAAAGACGGUAGCUUAACUAUCGCAGUGCCCUUGAUACUGCAGGGCUUGAAUGUACUAGAGGUAGGCGGAAUGUGACAAGUAGCGGUGAAAUGCAUAGAUAUGUCACAGAACACCAAUUGCGAAGGCAGCUUACUAUGGUAUGAUUGACGCUGAGGCACGAAAGCGUGGGGAUCAAACAGG